GACGAGGUGACCGAGCGGUUAAGGUGAUGGACUGCUAAUCCAUAGUUCAUUGCACGCAAGGGUUCAAAUCCCAUCCUCGUCG
RNAcentral lists this transfer RNA (82 nucleotides) under Daphnia pulex (common water flea). It matches the Rfam family "tRNA". Rfam says of the family: Transfer RNA (tRNA) molecules are approximately 80 nucleotides in length. The record is from Rfam by way of RNAcentral. Lineage: Eukaryota; Metazoa; Arthropoda; Branchiopoda; Diplostraca; Daphniidae.